GUUGCAGGGUAUAGACCCGAAACCCGGUGAUCUAGCCAUGGGCAGGUUGAAGGUUGGGUAACACUAACUGGAGGACCGAACCGACUAAUGUUGAAAAAUUAGCGGAUGACCUGUGGCUGGGGGUGAAAGGCCAAUCAAACCGGGAGAUAGCUGGUUCUCCCCGAAAGCUAUUUAGGUAGCGCCUCGUGAAUUCAUCUCCGGGGGUAGAGCACUGUUUCGGCUAGGGGGCCAUCCCGGCUUACCAACCCGAUGCAAACUGCGAAUACCGGAGAAUGUUAUCACGGGAGACACACGGCGGGUGCUAACGUCCGUCGUGAAGAGGGAAACAACCCAGACCGCCAGCUAAGGUCCCAAAGUCAUGGUUAAGUGGGAAACGAUGUGGGAAGGCCCAGACAGCCAGGAUGUUGGCUUAGAAGCAGCCAUCAUUUAAAGAAAGCGUAAUAGCUCACUGGUCGAGUCGGCCUGCGCGGAAGAUGUAACGGGGCUAAACCAUGCACCGAAGCUGCGGCAGCGAACGUAUCACCCAAGACAACUUUACGGAGUUGACGAUUGACGGAGCGAAGCGACGUCAAAGCGUUCAUUAAAGUCGAGUUGGCUUAGGGAUACGUUCGUUGGGUAGGGGAGCGUUCUGUAAGCCUGUGAAGGUGUGUCGUGAGGCAUGCUGGAGGUAUCAGAAGUGCGAAUGCUGACAUAAGUAACGAUAAAGCGGGUGAAAAGCCCGCUCGCCGGAAGACCAAGGGUUCCUGUCCAACGUUAAUCGGGGCAGGGUGAGUCGACCCCUAAGGCGAGGCCGAAAGGCGUAGUCGAUGGGAAACGGGUUAAUAUUCCCGUACUUGGUGUUACUGCGAAGGGGGGACGGAGAAGGCUAUGUUGGCCGGGCGACGGUUGUCCCGGUUUAAGCGUGUAGGUGUGUGUUCCAGGUAAAUCCGGUU
This 932-nucleotide ribosomal RNA is filed under the name Salmonella enterica. Its description in RNAcentral is "partial 23S ribosomal RNA". It matches the Rfam family "Bacterial large subunit ribosomal RNA", at positions 699 to 1547 of the family's 2925-position model. RNAcentral also lists the same sequence under 1 other name. The record is from RNAcentral. Lineage: Bacteria; Pseudomonadati; Pseudomonadota; Gammaproteobacteria; Enterobacterales; Enterobacteriaceae.